RNAcentral lists this ribosomal RNA (481 nucleotides) under uncultured bacterium. Its description in RNAcentral is "bacterial SSU rRNA". It matches the Rfam family "Bacterial small subunit ribosomal RNA", at positions 329 to 803 of the family's 1533-position model. The record is from RNAcentral.
UGGCUAACUCCUACGGGAGGCAGCAGUAGGGAAUCUUCCGCAAUGGGCGAAAGCCUGACGGAGCAACGCCGCGUGAGUGAUGAAGGGUUUCGGCUCGUAAAACUCUGUUAUUAGGGAAGAACAAAUGUGUAAGUAACUGUGCACGUCUUGACGGUACCUAAUCAGAAAGCCACGGCUAACUACGUGCCAGCAGCCGCGGUAAUACGUAGGUGGCAAGCGUUAUCCGGAAUUAUUGGGCGUAAAGCGCGCGCAGGCGGUUUCUUAAGUCUGAUGUGAAAGCCCACGGCUCUACCGUGGAGGGUCAUUGGAAACUGGGAAACUUGAGUGCAGAAGGGGAAAGUAGAAUUCCAUGUGUAGCGGUGAAAUGCGCAGAGAUAUGGAGGAACACCAGUGGCGAAGGCGACUUUCUGGUCUGUAACUGACGCUGAUGUGCGAAAGCGUGGGGAUCAAACAGGAUUAGAAACCCGGGUAGUCCAGCUGG